UAUCAGGCCCAGCAAUAGGCCAGUCAUUUUAUGCAGGGAUUUGACACUAGUCACCAGCCUACCAGCCAGGAGAGGAAGAGAGGGCAUCUGCUGAGGGGGAGAAGGGCUUCCACAGUGUCUUCCAGCACAACACAGGGGAAGUUCCACCUCUGUGAUCUCUGAGGGUUCAGAGGGACCUGGAGAACCAACAUCCCUUAGGCCAUCUAUCAAGAUACCCUGUUCCAUGUUUCAGGGUCUCUAGUUUUCUCAACCAGGGCCAACUUUAACAUUACAGAUCUUCCCACCUGAGUAUUUAAAGUCUCUGGAGCUCUGAAAUUCUACUAGAUCUUAUGUUUACUGUCUGCUGCUCAGCUGUGUCCCCUCUUCCACGGCAGGAGGUAGAAGCCUCUUUGUAAGCUCCCAAUGAGACCCUCUGGUUCUCACCCUGAAGACUUUACCUGUUUGUUAAUGGUCUUUGGUUCUUUAUUAGCUCUCUGCAGAGUGUCAAUACAACUUAGCAAUAACCUUAACCACCACUCCACUGCCUUUGUGGGCAUUGCUCUCCUCUCACCUUCCGUAUGCCCGAAUCAUCAUACCUACAAGGGUAUUUUCCUCCACAAAGAUGCUUUUCCCCAUCACUACCAGUACAAUAUUUAGCAAAUGAACUGUGUGUCAGAGACUCAGGAUGGUAUCUUCUUUGCCAGUCCAUGAACCCCAUCUUACUGCCCAUUAUCUUAUACCAUUCUUCGCAUCACUUAUGUUAGUUCGAGUCCUCUGAAAAGCAGAUGCCAAGAUGGAAUUCGACCUUUUAGAGAUUGAGGAAAAUUUGGUAAGGAAAAAUGUGUAGGGAACUGGAGGAGGCCCUAAAGUCAUCUGACCAUGAUGCAAUUCUGACCUCUGAAAGGAGAGAGGGAAGGAGAAAAAAGACUGGGUAGGAAAAGUCUUAGAAUUCUGGGCAAUUCAAGAAAGUUUCCUCAAGAUCUACAGGGAGUCCUCAAGUCAAAGUCUCUCGUAGAGAAGCCCCACAUCUCUCAGGAAUGAGCCUGCCAUGGCAUCUUUGCUGAGCUCAGUCACUAUUCAGGCAGCAUGGUUGACAGUUGGCCUUGGUGUGAAGACAGCGACAGUUUUCAGAGCAUAGAAGCUGGGGUCCUCAGUCAACCUCGUUCCUCAUACUCAGAGAUCUGAGAGGCACAUUCCCACAGCUGCCACUUCCUCUUGAGGAUUCAGGCUUCUGUAUGGUCUGAAAGUCCACUGCAUUCAGUCAAUGGAUGAGAAGGGUGAGAAGCGACACACAUCUCUCUGCCCACAUUGGUGAGAAUCAAUCACAUGGAUGCACUUCACUGAAAGAAGAGUCUGAGAAAUGUGUUCCUGGUUAGGGGGCCACUUAGAAGCAAGGAGUCU
This 1380-nucleotide long non-coding RNA is filed under the name Equus caballus (horse). RNAcentral describes it as "lncRNA (ENSECAG00000043908.1)". Lineage: Eukaryota; Metazoa; Chordata; Mammalia; Perissodactyla; Equidae. The record is from RNAcentral.